CUAAAGCCUCCUCGGGACGGCGCUGAGGUGAAACAGGCUGAACCCGACUGAUGUGGCUCCUCUCUCGGUUGGACCCAGUGCCCUAAGCAGCCGAUGAGAGACCCCCGGCCGCCCGGCUCGCAGGUAUCUUUGUAGUGCUGAAAUGGACACGCUAAUUGUGAACCAUGUGGUAAGGAGCUCCUUCUAAAAUAUGCAGCAGCGUAUUUACCGGAAUUUAGCAGGCUGUGUACUUCAAGGCUUCUCUUGCCUGUAGUGAUGUGAACAAACAUUGCAAGUCACAAUGCCAGCUCGAGAUCCAGCACAGCAUGUAACAGCAGCACUGAAACAGCCCCUGCCACUAGGCAAGGGACAGAAAGGAGAUGGUGACCUGCAACGGGAUGAGAGACCUCGCUUACCAGGAUUUGCUCACGGUUUUGCUUCUGGCAACUAACAUUUCCAUUUUUCUCAAAGCUUCUACAUCUGUGUCAUCAGACAAAACCCCAUGAGUGGUGGCAGAGCAAACUGUAGCCUUCAUUUUCAAGUUGGAAGAGAAAAAAAUUAUUUACAUGUCUAAAUCCCAGAACCAGCUGUUCAGAGGUCACUCUUUGUUGCCCGCUGCUAUGAACCACUACGGCUUCUGAAAGCUCUAAAAGAAACAGGACAUAGUCUGGGGCAGAAAACUCUUAUUGUUUUAAGUUUGUUUAAAUACUAUUUAAUUGUAUUAUAUAAUUCUAGUCCUACCAGAGGAACAUGGAAGAUGGGAUGCUUCUGUCAUUACUUGCAUGCAUGACUACUUAAAUUGACUGUCAGACCUUGCAGGACAAAUCUUUGACCCUUCUUAAGAUUGUUUUAAACUGAAGGAAAUUAUCUUUUAAGUGAUUAGGACUUUAGACUAUUUUUAAGGGAAAAUUAUUGAUUCAUGCAAUGAAUUUUACUGUUUUAUCACCCUUCCACUUCAGUAUUUACAUAUCUUUCUUGUUACAAAUUUAGGUAAAUGUUUAACUAUGUGUUUUAAUGUUGCCCUGUCUUUUUAUUUUCCUUUCCUGUUUUAGACAUAUUUUCCCGAAUCAAACCAUAGAAUUUAGUGACAAUUAGUAUAAUUUCCAGAAAUAACAUUAAGAGUUUCUGUACUAAGUGUGGGAAUGUAGAUGUUAAGGGGAAGCACAAGUAAUGACUUUUUUUUUUCCAUUCAAAAAGGAAGCACUGAGACGUCAAGGUUAUUCAACAGAAAUGAAUAAAUGCAGUCUGGAAAGUUGUUAUUUUUCCAAACUGUGAGAGGAUCUCUGAAAUAAUAAAGAUAACAGAAAACAAAAACCUGGAGAAAAUUGUCUAAUUUAAAAAAAAAAAAAGUUAGGAAACA
This is a long non-coding RNA of Sturnus vulgaris (Common starling), 1339 nucleotides long. RefSeq lists it as uncharacterized. NCBI's taxonomy places the organism in Eukaryota, Metazoa, Chordata, Aves, Passeriformes, Sturnidae. The record is from RefSeq and is a predicted model, not a curated record.